Molecule: ribosomal RNA, 515 nt
Filed under: uncultured bacterium
Lineage: Bacteria
Description: partial 16S ribosomal RNA
Rfam family: Bacterial small subunit ribosomal RNA
Source: RNAcentral
GAUGAACGCUGGCGGCGUGCCUAAUACAUGCAAGUCGAGCGAAUGGAUUAAGAGCUUGCUCUUAUGAAGUUAGCGGCGGACGGGUGAGUAACACGUGGGUAACCUGCCCAUAAGACUGGGAUAACUCCGGGAAACCGGGGCUAAUACCGGAUAACAUUUUGAACCGCAUGGUUCGAAAUUGAAAGGCGGCCUCGGCUGUCACUUAUGGAUGGACCCGCGUCGCAUUAGCUAGUUGGUGAGGUAACGGCUCACCAAGGCAACGAUGCGUAGCCGACCUGAGAGGGUGAUCGGCCACACUGGGACUGAGACACGGCCCAGACGCCUGCGGGAGGCAGCAGUAGGGAAUCUUCCGCAAUGGACGAAAGUCUGACGGAGCAACGCCGCGUGAGUGAUGAAGGCUUUCGGGUCGUAAAACUCUGUUGUUAGGGAAGAACAAGUGCUAGUUGAAUAAGCUGGCACCUUGACGGUACCUAACCAGAAAGCCACGGCUAACUACGUGCCAGCCGCCGCCGUAA